UUAAGCGACUAAGCGUACACGGUGGAUGCCCUGGCAGUCAGAGGCGAUGAAGGACGUGCUAAUCUGCGAUAAGCGUCGGUAAGGUGAUAUGAACCGUUAUAACCGGCGAUUUCCGAAUGGGGAAACCCAGUGUGNCACACUAUCAUUAACUGAAUCCAUAGGUUAAUGAGGCGAACCGGGGGAACUGAAACAUCUAAGUACCCCGAGGAAAAGAAAUCAACCGAGAUUCCCCCAGUAGCGGCGAGCGGACGGGGAGCAGCCCAGAGCCUGAAUCAGUGUGUGUGUUAGUGGAAGCGUCUGGAAAGGCGUGCGAUACAGGGUGACAGCCCCGUACACAAAAAUGCACAUAUUGUGAGCUCGAUGAGUAGGGCGGGACACGUGGUAUCCUGUCUGAAUAUGGGGGGCCCAUCCUCCAAGGCUAAAUACUCCUGACUGACCGAUAGUGAACCAGUACCGUGAGGGAAAGGCGAAAAGAACCCCGGCGAGGGGAGUGAAAAAGAACCUGAAACCGUGUACGUACAAGCAGUGGGAGCACGCUUAGGCGUGUGACUGCGUACCUUUUGUAUAAUGGGUCAGCGACUUAUAUUCUGUAGCAAGGUUAACCGAAUAGGGGAGCCGAAGGGAAACCGAGUCUUAACUGGGCGUUAAGUUGCAGGGUAUAGACCCGAAACCCGGUGAUCUAGCCAUGGGCAGGUUGAAGGUUGGGUAACACUAACUGGAGGACCGAACCGACUAAUGUUGAAAAAUUAGCGGAUGACUUGUGGCUGGGGGUGAAAGGCCAAUCAAACCGGGAGAUAGCUGGUUCUCCCCGAAAGCUAUUUAGGUAGCGCCUCGUGAAUUCAUCUCCGGGGGUAGAGCACUGUUUCGGCAAGGGGGUCAUCCCGACUUACCAACCCGAUGCAAACUGCGAAUACCGGAGAAUGUUAUCACGGGAGACACACGGCGGGUGCUAACGUCCGUCGUGAAGAGGGAAACAACCCAGACCGCCAGCUAAGGUCCCAAAGUCAUGGUUAAGUGGGAAACGAUGUGGGAAGGCCCAGACAGCCAGGAUGUUGGCUUAGAAGCAGCCAUCAUUUAAAGAAAGCGUAAUAGCUCACUGGUCGAGUCGGCCUGCGCGGAAGAUGUAACGGGGCUAAACCAUGCACCGAAGCUGCGGCAGCGACGCUUAUGCGUUGUUGGGUAGGGGAGCGUUCUGUAAGCCUGCGAAGGUGUGCUGUGAGGCAUGCUGGAGGUAUCAGAAGUGCGAAUGCUGACAUAAGUAACGAUAAAGCGGGUGAAAAGCCCGCUCGCCGGAAGACCAAGGGUUCCUGUCCAACGUUAAUCGGGGCAGGGUGAGUCGACCCCUAAGGCGAGGCCGAAAGGCGUAGUCGAUGGGAAACAGGUUAAUAUUCCUGUACUUGGUGUUACUGCGAAGGGGGGACGGAGAAGGCUAUGUUGGCCGGGCGACGGUUGUCCCGGUUUAAGCGUGUAGGCUGGUUUUCCAGGCAAAUCCGGAAAAUCAAGGCUGAGGCGUGAUGACGAGGCACUACGGUGCUGAAGCAACAAAUGCCCUGCUUCCAGGAAAAGCCUCUAAGCAUCAGGUAACAUCAAAUCGUACCCCAAACCGACACAGGUGGUCAGGUAGAGAAUACCAAGGCGCUUGAGAGAACUCGGGUGAAGGAACUAGGCAAAAUGGUGCCGUAACUUCGGGAGAAGGCACGCUGAUAUGUAGGUGAAGUCCCUUGCGGAUGGAGCUGAAAUCAGUCGAAGAUACCAGCUGGCUGCAACUGUUUAUUAAAAACACAGCACUGUGCAAACACGAAAGUGGACGUAUACGGUGUGACGCCUGCCCGGUGCCGGAAGGUUAAUUGAUGGGGUCAGCGCAAGCGAAGCUCUUGAUCGAAGCCCCGGUAAACGGCGGCCGUAACUAUAACGGUCCUAAGGUAGCGAAAUUCCUUGUCGGGUAAGUUCCGACCUGCACGAAUGGCGUAAUGAUGGCCAGGCUGUCUCCACCCGAGACUCAGUGAAAUUGAACUCGCUGUGAAGAUGCAGUGUACCCGCGGCAAGACGGAAAGACCCCGUGAACCUUUACUAUAGCUUGACACUGAACAUUGAGCCUUGAUGUGUAGGAUAGGUGGGAGGCUUUGAAGUGUGGACGCCAGUCUGCAUGGAGCCGGCCUUGAAAUACCACCCUUUAAUGUUUGAUGUUCUAACGUGGACCCGUGAUCCGGGUUGCGGACAGUGUCUGGUGGGUAGUUUGACUGGGGCGGUCUCCUCCUAAAGAGUAACGGAGGAGCACGAAGGUUGGCUAAUCCUGGUCGGACAUCAGGAGGUUAGUGCAAUGGCAUAAGCCAGCUUGACUGCGAGCGUGACGGCGCGAGCAGGUGCGAAAGCAGGUCAUAGUGAUCCGGUGGUUCUGAAUGGAAGGGCCAUCGCUCAACGGAUAAAAGGUACUCCGGGGAUAACAGGCUGAUACCGCCCAAGAGUUCAUAUCGACGGCGGUGUUUGGCACCUCGAUGUCGGCUCAUCACAUCCUGGGGCUGAAGUAGGUCCCAAGGGUAUGGCUGUUCGCCAUUUAAAGUGGUACGCGAGCUGGGUUUAGAACGUCGUGAGACAGUUCGGUCCCUAUCUGCCGUGGGCGCUGGAGAACUGAGGGGGGCUGCUCCUAGUACGAGAGGACCGGAGUGGACGCAUCACUGGUGUUCGGGUUGUCAUGCCAAUGGCACUGCCCGGUAGCUAAAUGCGGAAGAGAUAAGUGCUGAAAGCAUCUAAGCACGAAACUUGCCCCGAGAUGAGUUCUCCCUGACCCUUUAAGGGUCCUGAAGGAACGUUGAAGACGACGACGUUGAUAGGCCGGGUGUGUAAGCGCAGCGAUGCGUUGAGCUAACCGGUACUAAUGAACCGUGAGGCUUAACCUU
Molecule: ribosomal RNA, 2897 nt
Filed under: Shigella sonnei
Lineage: Bacteria; Pseudomonadati; Pseudomonadota; Gammaproteobacteria; Enterobacterales; Enterobacteriaceae
Description: bacterial LSU rRNA
Rfam family: Bacterial large subunit ribosomal RNA
Source: RNAcentral